Molecule: ribosomal RNA, 648 nt
Filed under: uncultured bacterium
Lineage: Bacteria
Description: bacterial SSU rRNA
Rfam family: Bacterial small subunit ribosomal RNA
Source: RNAcentral
GGGUGAGUAAUAUAUCGGAACGUGCCCAGUCGUGGGGGAUAACGCAGCGAAAGCUGUGCUAAUACCGCAUACGAUCUCUGGAUGAAAGCGGGGGACUCGCAAGAGCCUCGCGCGAUUGGAGCGGCCGAUAUCAGAUUAGCUAGUUGGCGGGGCAAAAGCCCACCAAGGCGACGAUCUGUAGCUGGUCUGAGAGGACGACCAGCCACACUGGAACUGAGACACGGUCCAGACUCCUACGGGAGGCAGCAGUGGGGAAUUUUGGACAAUGGGCGAAAGCCUGAUCCAGCAAUGCCGCGUGCAGGAUGAAGGCCUUCGGGUUGUAAACUGCUUUUGUACGGAACGAAACGGUCUGCCUUAAUACGGUGGGCUAAUGACGGUACCGUAAGAAUAAGCACCGGCUAACUACGUGCCAGCAGCCGCGGUAAUACGUAGGGUGCGAGCGUUAAUCGGAAUUACUGGGCGUAAAGCGUGCGCAGGCGGUUAUAUAAGACAGAUGUGAAAUCCCCGGGCUCAACCUGGGACCUGCAUUUGUGACUGUAUAGCUAGAGUACGGUAGAGGGGGAUGGAAUUCCGCGUGUAGCAGUGAAAUGCGUAGAUAUGCGGAGGAACACCGAUGGCGAAGGCAAUCCCCUGGACCUGUACUGACGC